RNAcentral lists this small RNA (28 nucleotides) under Bombyx mori (domestic silkworm). RNAcentral describes it as "ovarian small RNA-24415". The record is from RNAcentral. Lineage: Eukaryota; Metazoa; Arthropoda; Insecta; Lepidoptera; Bombycidae.
UCAAACGUGUGAAGCUUCCCGACACGCC